RNAcentral lists this ribosomal RNA (24 nucleotides) under Stichococcus bacillaris. RNAcentral's name for it is "partial 26S ribosomal RNA". RNAcentral also lists the same sequence under 32 other names. The record is from RNAcentral. Lineage: Eukaryota; Viridiplantae; Chlorophyta; Trebouxiophyceae; Prasiolales; Stichococcaceae.
GACCUGAGAUCAGACAAGACCACC